AAUGAACGCUGGCGGCGCGCCUAAUACAUGCAAGUCGAGCGAGAAGACGUAGCAAUACGUUUGUAAAGCGGCGAACGGGUGAGGAAUACAUGGGUAACCUACCCUCGAGUGGGGAAUAACUAGCCGAAAGGUUAGCUAAUACCGCGUACGCUUCUUGGACUUCGGUUCAGGGAGGAAAGCGAUGCCGAGGGUAUCGCGCUCUUGGAUGGGCUCAUGUCCUAUCAGCUUGUUGGNGAGGUAACGGCUCACCAAGGCUUCGACGGGUAGCUGGUCUGAGAGGACGAUCAGCCACACUGGCACUGCGACACGGGCCAGACUCCUACGGGGAGGCAGCAGUAAGGAAUAUUGCGCAAUGGGCGAAAGCCUGACGCAGCGACGCCGCGUGGGGGAUGAAGGUCUUCGGAUUGUAACCCCUUUC
Molecule: ribosomal RNA, 418 nt
Filed under: uncultured bacterium
Lineage: Bacteria
Description: bacterial SSU rRNA
Rfam family: Bacterial small subunit ribosomal RNA
Source: RNAcentral